CUACGGGAGGCACCAGUGGGGAAUAUUGCGCAAUGGGCGAAAGCCUGACGCAGCAACGCCGCGUGAGUGAUGAAGGCCUUCGGGUCGUAAAGCUCUGUCGGGAGGGAAGAACACCUUCGGGUCUGACGGUACCUCCCGAGGAAGCACAGGCUAACUCCGUGCCAGCAGCCGCGGUAAUACGGAGUGUGCAAGCGUUGUUCGGAAUUACUGGGCGUAAAGCGCGCGUAGGCGGCUUGAUAAGUCAGAUGUGAAAUCCCUCGGCUUAACCGAGGAACCGCAUUUGAAACUGUCAGGCUUGAGUACGGGAGGGGGAAGCGGAAUUCCCAGUGUAGAGGUGAAAUUCGUAGAUAUUGGGAGGAACACCAGCGGCGAAGGCGGCUUCCUGGACCGAUACUGACGCUGAGGCGCGAAAGCGUGGGGAGCAAACAGGAUUAGAUACCCCGGUAGUC
Molecule: ribosomal RNA, 449 nt
Filed under: uncultured bacterium
Lineage: Bacteria
Description: partial 16S ribosomal RNA
Rfam family: Bacterial small subunit ribosomal RNA
Source: RNAcentral